UUGCACUAAAUGAAACUAGAUACAAGCCAGUAAAAGACGGGNGAGUAACACGAGGGUAANCUGCCCACCUUAAAAAAUAAGACCUGGAAACAGAUGCUAAUACCGGAUAACAACACUAGACGCAUGUCUAGAGUUUGAAAGAUGCUUCUGCUAUCACUCUUGGAUGGACCUGCGGUGCAUUAGCUAGUUGGUAAGGUAACGGCUUACCAAGGCAAUGAUGCAUAGCCGAGUUGAGAGACUGAUCGGCCACAUUGGGACUGAGACACGGCCCAAACUCCUACGGGAGGCAGCAGUAGGGAAUCUUCCACAAUGGACGAAAGUCUGAUGGAGCAACGCCGCGUGAGUGAAGAAGGGUUUCGGCUCGUAAAGCUCUGUUGGUAGUGAAGAAAGAUAGAGGUAGUAACUGGCCUUUAUUUGACGGUAAUUACUUAGAAAGUCACGGCUAACUACGUGCCAGCAGCCGCGGUAAUACGUAGGUGGCAAGCGUUGUCCGGAUUUAUUGGGCGUAAAGCGAGUGCAGGCGGUUCAAUAAGUCUGAUGUGAAAGCCUUCGGCUCAACCGGAGAAUUGCAUCAGAAACUGUUGAACUUGAGUGCAGAAGAGGAGAGUGGAACUCCAUGUGUAGCGGUGGAAUGCGUAAAUAUAUGGAAGAACACCAGUGGCGAAGGCGGCUCUCUGGUCUGCAACUGACGCUGAGGCUCGAAAGCAUGGGUAGCGAACAGGAUUAGAUACCCUGGUAGUCCAUGCCGAA
RNAcentral lists this ribosomal RNA (750 nucleotides) under uncultured bacterium. Its description in RNAcentral is "bacterial SSU rRNA". It matches the Rfam family "Bacterial small subunit ribosomal RNA", at positions 62 to 804 of the family's 1533-position model. The record is from RNAcentral.